GUGCCAGCAGCCGCGGUAAUACAGAGACGGCAAGCGUUGCUCGGAUUCAUUGGGCGUAAAGGGUUCGCAGGCGGUCGGGCAAGUCGGAUGUGAAAGCCCACGGCUUAACCGUGGAGAGUCAUUCGAAACUGCUCGACUGGAGGACUGGAGAGGAGACUGGAAUGGUCGGUGUAGCGGUGAAAUGCGUAGAGAUCGACCAGAACACCGGUGGCGAAGGCGGGUCUCUGGCCAGUUCCUGACGCUCAGGAACGAAAGCGUGGGGAGCAAACGGGAUUAGAUACCCUGGUAGUCC
This 292-nucleotide ribosomal RNA is filed under the name uncultured bacterium. RNAcentral's name for it is "partial 16S ribosomal RNA". It matches the Rfam family "Bacterial small subunit ribosomal RNA", at positions 505 to 796 of the family's 1533-position model. The record is from RNAcentral.